UUGGAGGGCAAGUCUGGUGCCAGCAGCCGCGGUAAUUCCAGCUCCAGUAGCGUAUAUUAAAGUUGUUGCAGUUAAAAAGCUCGUAGUUGAAUUUCGGGAUUAGUACGUUGGUCGUGCCUUCGGUACGUACUGGUGUUACUGAUUCCUACCUUCUGACGAACCAUCAUGUCAUUAAUUUGGUGUGGUGGGGAAUCAGGACUGUUACUUUGAAAAAAUUAGAGUGUUUAAAGCAGGCUCGCGCUUGAAUACAUUAGCAUGGAAUAAUGAAAUAGGACGUUGACCCUAUUUUGUUGGUUUCUAGGAUUGACGUAAUGAUUAAUAGGGAUAGUUGGGGGCAUUAGUAUUCAAUUGUCAGAGGUGAAAUUCUUGGAUUUAUUGAAGACUAACUACUGCGAAAGCAUUUGCCAAGGAUGUUUUCAUUAACCAAGAACGAAAGUUAGGGGAUCGAAGACGAUCAGAUACCGUCGUAGUCUUAACCAUAAACUAUGCCGACUAGGGAUCGGAUGAUGUUAUUUUUAAUGACUCAUUCGGCGCCUUACGGGAAAC
Molecule: ribosomal RNA, 546 nt
Filed under: uncultured Glomus
Lineage: Eukaryota; Fungi; Glomeromycota; Glomeromycetes; Glomerales; Glomeraceae
Description: SSU rRNA
Rfam family: Eukaryotic small subunit ribosomal RNA
Source: RNAcentral